GCCUGGGUAGCUCAGUGGGUUAAGCCUCUGCCUUUGACGCAGAUCAUGAUAUCAGGGUCCUGGGAUCGAGCCCCACAUCAGGCU
RNAcentral lists this transfer RNA (84 nucleotides) under Mustela putorius furo (domestic ferret). It matches the Rfam family "tRNA". Rfam says of the family: Transfer RNA (tRNA) molecules are approximately 80 nucleotides in length. Their secondary structure includes four short double-helical elements and three loops (D, anti-codon, and T loops). The record is from Rfam by way of RNAcentral. Lineage: Eukaryota; Metazoa; Chordata; Mammalia; Carnivora; Mustelidae.